ACUGCCCAGGAAUCUUGGGAAAAUGCAGAGUCUGAUUCAGUAGGUCUGAGAUGGAACCUGAGAUUCUGCAUUUCUGGCAAGCCCUCAAGCGAUGCCAA
Molecule: microRNA precursor, 98 nt
Filed under: Equus caballus (horse)
Lineage: Eukaryota; Metazoa; Chordata; Mammalia; Perissodactyla; Equidae
Description: mir-544 microRNA precursor family
Rfam family: mir-544 microRNA precursor family
Source: Rfam by way of RNAcentral